Molecule: ribosomal RNA, 448 nt
Filed under: Pseudoalteromonas sp. DSM 26666
Lineage: Bacteria; Pseudomonadati; Pseudomonadota; Gammaproteobacteria; Alteromonadales; Pseudoalteromonadaceae
Description: bacterial SSU rRNA
Rfam family: Bacterial small subunit ribosomal RNA
Source: RNAcentral
UUUAAUUGAAGAGUUUGAUCAUGGCUCAGAUUGAACGCUGGCGGCAGGCCUAACACAUGCAAGUCGAGCGGUAACAUUUCUAGCUUGCUAGAAGAUGACGAGCGGCGGACGGGUGAGUAAUGCUUGGGAACAUGCCUUGAGGUGGGGGACAACAGUUGGAAACGACUGCUAAUACCGCAUAAUGUCUACGGACCAAAGGGGGCUUCGGCUCUCGCCUUUAGAUUGGCCCAAGUGGGAUUAGCUAGUUGGUGAGGUAAUGGCUCACCAAGGCGACGAUCCCUAGCUGGUUUGAGAGGAUGAUCAGCCACACUGGGACUGAGACACGGCCCAGACUCCUACGGGAGGCAGCAGUGGGGAAUAUUGCACAAUGGGCGCAAGCCUGAUGCAGCCAUGCCGCGUGUGUGAAGAAGGCCUUCGGGUUGUAAAGCACUUUCAGUCAGGAGGAAAG